Molecule: ribosomal RNA, 257 nt
Filed under: uncultured bacterium
Lineage: Bacteria
Description: partial 16S ribosomal RNA
Rfam family: Bacterial small subunit ribosomal RNA
Source: RNAcentral
UACGUAGGGUGCAAGCGUUAUCCGGAAUUAUUGGGCGUAAAGAGCUCGUAGGCGGUUUGUCGCGUCUGCUGUGAAAACUGGAGGCUCAACCUCCAGCCUGCAGUGGGUACGGGCAGACUAGAGUGCGGUAGGGGAGAUUGGAAUUCCUGGUGUAGCGGUGGAAUGCGCAGAUAGUCAGGAGGAACACCGAUGGCGAAGGCAGAUCUCUGGGCCGGUAACUGACGCUGAGGAGCGAAAAGCAUGGGGGAGCGAACAGG